Molecule: ribosomal RNA, 898 nt
Filed under: Vibrio parahaemolyticus
Lineage: Bacteria; Pseudomonadati; Pseudomonadota; Gammaproteobacteria; Vibrionales; Vibrionaceae
Description: bacterial SSU rRNA
Rfam family: Bacterial small subunit ribosomal RNA
Source: RNAcentral
ACGAUGGCUAAUACCGCAUGAUGCCUACGGGUCAAAGAGGGGGGACCUUGGGCCUCUCGCGUCAGGAUAUGCCUAGGUGGGAUUAGCUAGUUGGUGAGGUAAGGGCUCACCAAGGCGACGAUCCCUAGCUGGUCUGAGAGGAUGAUCAGCCACACUGGAACUGAGACACGGUCCAGACUCCUACGGGAGGCAGCAGUGGGGAAUAUUGCACAAUGGGCGCAAGCCUGAUGCAGCCAUGCCGCGUGUGUGAAGAAGGCCUUCGGGUUGUAAAGCACUUUCAGUCGUGAGGAAGGUAGUGUAGUUAAUAGCUGCAUUAUUUGACGUUAGCGACAGAAGAAGCACCGGCUAACUCCGUGCCAGCAGCCGCGGUAAUACGGAGGGUGCGAGCGUUAAUCGGAAUUACUGGGCGUAAAGCGCAUGCAGGUGGUUUGUUAAGUCAGAUGUGAAAGCCCGGGGCUCAACCUCGGAAUUGCAUUUGAAACUGGCAGACUAGAGUACUGUAGAGGGGGGUAGAAUUUCAGGUGUAGCGGUGAAAUGCGUAGAGAUCUGAAGGAAUACCGGUGGCGAAGGCGGCCCCCUGGACAGAUACUGACACUCAGAUGCGAAAGCGUGGGGAGCAAACAGGAUUAGAUACCCUGGUAGUCCACGCCGUAAACGAUGUCUACUUGGAGGUUGUGGCCUUGAGCCGUGGCUUUCGGAGCUAACGCGUUAAGUAGACCGCCUGGGGAGUACGGUCGCAAGAUUAAAACUCAAAUGAAUUGACGGGGGCCCGCACAAGCGGUGGAGCAUGUGGUUUAAUUCGAUGCAACGCGAAGAACCUUACCUACUCUUGACAUCCAGAGAACUUUCCAGAGAUGGAUUGGUGCCUUCGGGAACUCUGAGACAGGUGCUGCAUGGC